This 343-nucleotide unclassified non-coding RNA is filed under the name soil metagenome. RNAcentral describes it as "partial contains 5.8S ribosomal RNA, internal transcribed spacer 2, and large subunit ribosomal RNA". The stretch from base 1 to 120 matches the Rfam family "5.8S ribosomal RNA", at positions 35 to 154 of the family's 154-position model. The record is from RNAcentral.
GAUGAAGAACGUAGCGAAAUGCGAUAAGUAAUGUGAAUUGCAGAAUUCAGUGAAUCAUCGAAUCUUUGAACGCACAUUGCGCCCGCCAGUAUUCUGGCGGGCAUGCCUGUCCGAGCGUCAUUUCAACCCUCAAGCCCCCGGGCUUGGUGUUGGGGAUCGGCGAGCCUCCGCGCCCGCCGUCCCCUAAAUCUAGUGGCGGUCUCGCUGUAGCUUCCUCUGCGUAGUAGCACACCUCGCACUGGGAAACAGCGCGGCCACGCCGUUAAACCCCCAACUUCUGAACGUUUGACCUCGGAUCAGGUAGGAAUACCCGCUGAACUUAAGCAUAUCAAUAAGCGGAGGA